GUUAAUGUGUUCAGGAACAACAAAGCUCUUUUAGUUGCUUAGCAACUGAAGCUGGGGGGUUGGGCAGAGGCUACGUAAGCGGUGGGGGAGAAAAACAGAGAGGAGCAUAAAAAGUGAUUUUAAUGUACAGGUCAUUCCCAGGUGGAGGAAAAGAGAUACAUGUAUAUAGCUGUGGUAUUUACAGCUCUAGCUAUUUGUUACCUGGCUGGAAAAUUUAGUGAAAUAUUUUGAAAUGCAGCAGUGGACACUACUGCCACCGCGUGGACAAUGCUGGGAGCCUACGGGGAGCUGAAGGAACGAGACACAGGCGCGAGAGGGGCCCACCUCUGGGGAAUGUGGGAGUGGUCUACAGACUGUUGGUUCCUGUACCCCUUAGCACAAUUUUGAAACUUUCUGGUGCAUUUUUAAGUUGGUUGGCUAUGACUCUGCUCCUUGCUGAAGACCGUGACAGAGCAGCUUCCCCCUGGGACAUGUGGUUUCUUGGCAGAAGGAAAAACAGACAUAGAAAACCAUGAGCACUGUCUUAAAGCCUGCUCCAAAGGGACACUCAUCACUUCCAUCUAUAUUUCUUUGGAAAGGUAAGUGUAUAGCCUCUGCUGAGUUCAACACGGUAGGGUUGUACAAACUUCCUCCAGGAUGGGGCAGCAGCUAUUCUGACUGAUGUUACAGCCUCCUGCACCCAUGCAGGAGCCACUGACUUAUCAUAGAGAGAUAGUAAUCAUUUUCUAAAAUUAUUGUAUAAAAUAUUAAAUAUUUUUACAUAUUCUCAUAUCUUAUAUAAAAUGUUUAUAUAUUUAUAUGUUAUACAAAUAUGUAAAAAUAUUUAUUUUAGUUAAAAAAUUACAAAACAUUUCCAACAUCCAGAAGAGGUUAAUAUAACAAAACCAUGAGUGUUUGUAUCCUAAAAUUACCAACUGUUAACAUUUGCCCCACUGACUUCAGAUUCCUUUGUUAAAAAAGAAAUAAAACAUUGCAGAUGCAGAGUAUUCCACCAGCCCCAUCUUAUACUUCUUUCAAGCCUUUUCAUUUCUAGAAGUAACUAUCCUGAUGCAAGAGUACAUUCUUUGUGUCUAUUCUUUUUAUUAUUUAUUACAAAAGUGCUUUAAAAAUAUACAUAAUGUAGAAUGUGCAUGUCUCUUUACCUAUUACUUUUUCCACUUAGUACUCUGUAUUUUAGACGUAUCCAUGUUGAUGCAUGUAGGUCUAGUUAUUUCACUGAAAGUAUUUAAUAGUAAUAUGUGUUAUGAAUCGAUCACUAUCCAUGUUGUUUGAACUUUAGUUGGCUUACAGCUUUUUGUUAUUUCAAAAAUGGAAAGAUAAACACCUUUGUAUGUGCUUCUGUGUACAGACAAGGGUUUCUCCAUGAUUUAGGUCCUCAAAAUGAGUGAAACACUUCACUGGAAUGGCCUUGCAGGGUUGAAAAAGCUAAUUGCUUUUGCAUACCAAGCUGAAGCUUUAUAAAUGGCAGCUCCAAAGGGCAGAGUUAAACAGGAAACGGGGCCCAGUGUUACCUGAAACCAUCUGGGCGGAGAGUUAGAGGCAGCCUCAUGGGACUUUUCUGGGCCCCUGAGGCGUGCACAAGGCAGUGAAAGACCAGCGCCCUAGAAAACCAGCAAUUUUCCUUGGGGCUGCAAGCCGUAUGGUGAACGUAGGACUGCGAACCAGCAGACUUGACACAGGCAGUGGUUGGAUGAGGCCCAGCAGGAGGUACCAGGGAGGUGGCAGAACUGGUAGGUACCAAGGGUUUCAGAAGACACAAGGAAGGGCGCCCGGGUAGCUCAGUCGGUUGAGCGUCCAACUCCCGGUUUCUGCUCAGGUUAUGUUCCUGAGAUCAAGCCCCGAGGCGAGCUCUGCGUUGACAGCGUGGAAGCUGCCUGGGAU
Molecule: long non-coding RNA, 1881 nt
Organism: Felis catus (domestic cat)
Lineage: Eukaryota; Metazoa; Chordata; Mammalia; Carnivora; Felidae
Exons: 3
Source: RefSeq, a predicted model, not a curated record